CCCUUAGAUGUUCUGGGCCGCACGCGUGCUACACUGGUGCAUACAGAGAGUCUUAACCUUAACCGAAAUGGUUUGGGUAAUCUUGUGAAAGCUCAUCGUGACAGGGAUUGAUCAUUGCAAUUAUUGAUCAUGAACGAGGAAUUCCUAGUAAAGGCGAGUCAUCAUCUCGCUUUGAUUACGUCCCUGCCCUUUGUACACACCGCCCGUCGCUACUACCGAUUGAAUGGUUUAGUGAGAUCUCCGGAUUGGCUUCCUUGGUACCUUCGCGGGUCCAACGUGAAGCCGAGAAGCUGCUCAAACUUGAUCAUUUAGAGGAAGUAAAAGUCGUAACA
This 332-nucleotide ribosomal RNA is filed under the name uncultured eukaryote. RNAcentral's name for it is "partial 18S ribosomal RNA". It matches the Rfam family "Eukaryotic small subunit ribosomal RNA", at positions 1470 to 1796 of the family's 1831-position model. The record is from RNAcentral.